RNAcentral lists this non-coding RNA (71 nucleotides) under Schistosoma mansoni. The record is from RNAcentral. Lineage: Eukaryota; Metazoa; Platyhelminthes; Trematoda; Strigeidida; Schistosomatidae.
UACAUAACUCCACCUGUAGCUCCUCAGGGGCUACUGCCGGUCAUAAGCCCGGAUAAAGGAGGAGGGUUGGG